CCACUCUGACCUUGGUACAGUUUAAUAACCUUGGAUGGUGACCACAUUGAUAAUACUCUGUCGCUAUUUUCAGAGUGAUUUUAACUGCGUUUUCUUUUUUUUUUUUUCUUGGCUGAACCCAUGGCAUGCAGAAGUUCCCAGGCCAGGGGUCGAACCCGCACCAUAGCGGUGAUCCAAGCUACAGCAGUGAUAAUGCCGGAUCCUUAACUCACUGAACCACUGGGGAACUCCUUAGCUAUGUGUUCUUAAUCGACCCUGGUAAAUGUAAUCUGCAUAUUCAAACCCACAGAACAGAAUCCACCCCAAUGGCCUGGCCCAAGUCACAAAUCUAUACCUAAGUCUGCCAGCACUUAUGGGAAAUAGCUCAGUGUCAAGGACACAAGCACACACCAGUGACAUUCCUCCCAUGCAGCCUUAGCGGUUGCACCUCACCCUAGAAAAUAGAACCUGCCAGGCUCUGGAGGAAAUCCUGAUCUCCAGGCUGAUCGUGCCCCAUUUCCAUGUUGCUGCUUCUGACCCAACAAGGCGCACUUUUGUCCAGCUUCCCUUCCUGCUGGGGAGUCUCUGCGAACUCAGUCCAUGGCUUGUUUUCCCUGGAAUAACAGAUAUUCAACGGAUAUCCGUUUCCCUUCAAUAACAGGUAUUAUAAUUCCUUACUAAGUUGUAUUAUUUUUCUCAUUAGAUAACCCUUACAGCAGUCUCUGGAGGUACGGAGGAUUUUUCUAGCUCGUUCUCAAGGAAGGCAGCUAAAGGUCAAGAAGUUGUGCAUUUGCUCUUCCCUCUCGGUCCUCCUGCCAUUCCCUGCCCAGGCACCUGCCGGGCAAAUAGGGGAUGCUCACAGUUUAUAACAUCAAAAAGAGAGUCUCUUCCUUCCUCUGCUCCUCAACAUGAGGCGAGGGAAAGGGAUGAAGCAGAGACUCAAGAAGAUGGAAAGGAGGACGGCGUUUGGUUAAGGACGGAGAGCAAGAACAGGAGUCCAGCUCUAGGCUGGCCUCUCAGUUGGACUGUCUGAUCUUGUGUGAGUCAUUCUUUUUUUUACUGACAUAGCAGUAUGUAGAGAGAAGGAGCACAGGCUUGAGAAAUACAUAUACCUGGCUGGAACCUUCAUUUUAGCUCUUACCAACCAGACCAUGUGACCUUAGGACUGGACUUAAUCUCUUUGAGCCUUGGUUCCCUCAUUUUCAACGUGUGACUAUCAAUAAGCCACCCUCCAAGUCUGUUUGGGGAAUCCAGUGAGAUUAUUUUGGUGAAACACCUGACACAGUGUUCGGUACCUGGCACAUACCCGGUAAGUAGAGCUUUUCAUUAUCUUUAAAGUAAGUGGUUAGAUCAGUUCCCGCUGAGCUUAGUUAGCAUUUUGUUAUCCAGGAUGUGGUGGACUGGCAUCCACGUGCGAUCUCAGCAAGUAACAUACUGAUACUCCACCCCCAUCACACAUGCAGAAGCCAUGCACUAGUAGAGCUCCCGGGCACAUAGAGCAGGUCACAUUACAGGCACAGAUUGGCCUGGCAUGGAGGCUGGACACCCCAUAACUGUUUGAAGACUUGGUUGCUUGAGCCACAUUUUCAUCCUCCCAUGGCUGAGUGAUCUAUUUUUUUUCCCCAAAGUUGCUAUAAAAUCAGAGAUGAGAGCUAGUACUGAAUCAAAGAACUGUGGUUCUUUGUCACAUACACUCUCUUGGGUUCCAUCCAACCUUAUUUUAAAUAUCUUUAGGGAUGGGCUUUUAUCACUUUUCUUGGAAGGUUUUCUUUAAAUAAUAAUUUUUUGCUGUCAUAAAGUUUUCUCUCCCAUUCAGGGAAAAAUUUUUCUUUCCUCCCUUAUACUCUUUUAGCCAUCCUGUCCUCAAUCUGAUUAAAUAAUUCCUCCCGCCAGUUCAGUAUUUCUCCUGUUAGAAUUUUGUAGUCAGUUAUUGGUCCCCCCUCUAUCAUUACUUAGCAACACCAGACAUAAGCUUUAUCUUUAAUCAUUUCUCAUAACUCACUCUGCCAUCGACAUACUCAUUAUUCUCUUUU
RNAcentral lists this long non-coding RNA (2012 nucleotides) under Sus scrofa (pig). RNAcentral describes it as "lncRNA (ENSSSCG00065053182.1)". The record is from RNAcentral. Lineage: Eukaryota; Metazoa; Chordata; Mammalia; Artiodactyla; Suidae.